Molecule: ribosomal RNA, 243 nt
Filed under: uncultured bacterium
Lineage: Bacteria
Description: partial 16S ribosomal RNA
Rfam family: Bacterial small subunit ribosomal RNA
Source: RNAcentral
GAUCCUGGCUCAGGACGAACGCUGGCGGCAUGCCUAACACAUGCAAGUCGAACGGGGAUACGAGAGCUUGCUUUUGUAUCUUAGUGGCGGACGGGCGAGUAACGCGUGAGCAACCUGCCCUUCAGUGGGGAAUAACGUCUGGAAACGGACGCUAAUACCGCAUAACACAACGGAGCCGCAUGACUUUGUUGUCAAAGGAUUUAUUCGCUGAAGGAUGGGCUCGCGUCCGAUUAGCUAGAUGGG